RNAcentral lists this ribosomal RNA (885 nucleotides) under uncultured archaeon. Its description in RNAcentral is "bacterial SSU rRNA". It matches the Rfam family "Archaeal small subunit ribosomal RNA", at positions 114 to 997 of the family's 1478-position model. The record is from RNAcentral.
CUUGGGUCCGGCAUAACCCCGGGAAACUGGGGAUAAUUCCGGAUAACGCAUAUAUGCUGGAAUGCUUUAUGCGUCAAAUGGAUUCGUCUGCCCAAGGAUGGGUCUGCGGCCUAUCAGGUAGUAGUGGGUGUAAUGUACCUACUAGCCGACGACGGGUACGGGUUGUGAGAGCAAGAGCCCGGAGAUGGAUUCUGAGACAUGAAUCCAGGCCCUACGGGGCGCAGCAGGCGCGAAAACUUUACAAUGCGGGAAACCGUGAUAAGGGGACACCGAGUGCCAGCAUCAUAUGCUGGCUGUCUGGGUGUGUAAAAUACACCUGUUAGCAAGGGCCGGGCAAGACCGGUGCCAGCCGCCGCGGUAACACCGGCGGCCCGAGUGGUGAUCGUGAUUAUUGGGUCUAAAGGGUCCGUAGCCGGUUUGGUCAGUCCUCCGGGAAAUCUGACGGCUUAACCGUUAGGCUUUCGGAGGAUACUGCCAGGCUUGGAACCGGGAGAGGUAAGAGGUACUACAGGGGUAGGAGUGAAAUCUUGUAAUCCCUGUGGGACCACCUGUGGCGAAGGCGUCUUACCAGAACGGGUUCGACGGUGAGGGACGAAAGCUGGGGGCACGAACCGGAUUAGAUACCCGGGUAGUCCCAGCCGUAAACGAUGCUCGCUAGGUGUCAGGCAUGGCGCGACCGUGUCUGGUGCCGUAGGGAAGCCGUGAAGCGAGCCACCUGGGAAGUACGGCCGCAAGGCUGAAACUUAAAGGAAUUGGCGGGGGAGCACAACAACGGGUGGAGCCUGCGGUUUAAUUGGACUCAACGCCGGACAACUCACCGGGGGCGACAGCAAUAUGUAGGCCAAGCUGAAGACUUUGCCUGAAUCGCUGAGAGGAGGUGCAUGG